GUUAUAUGGUCAAGUGAAGAAGCGCAUACGGUGGAUGCCUUGGCAGUCAGAGGCGAUGAAAGACGUGGUAGCCUGCGAAAAGCUUCGGGGAGUCGGCAAACAGACUGUGAUCCGGAGAUAUCUGAAUGGGGGAACCCAGCCAUCAUAAGAUGGUUAUCUUGUACUGAAUACAUAGGUGCAAGAGGCGAACCAGGGGAACUGAAACAUCUAAGUACCCUGAGGAAAAGAAAUCAACCGAGAUUCCCUUAGUAGUGGCGAGCGAACGGGGACCAGCCCUUAAGUUGUAUUGAGAUUAGCGGAACGUUCUGGAAAGGACGGCCAUAGUGGGUGAUAGCCCUGUACGCGAAAAUCCCUUUGCAAUGAAAUCGAGUAGGACGGGGCACGAGAAACCUUGUCUGAAUAUGGGGGGACCAUCCUCCAAGGCUAAAUACUACUGACUGACCGAUAGUGAACCAGUACCGUGAGGGAAAGGCGAAAAGAACCGCGGAGAGCGGAGUGAAAUAGAUCCUGAAACCGUAUGCGUACAAGCAGUGGGAGCCCACUUUGUUGGGUGACUGCGUACCUUUUGUAUAAUGGGUCAGCGACUUAUUUUCAGUGGCGAGCUUAACCGAAUAGGGGAGGCGUAGCGAAAGCGAGUCUUAAUAGGGCGUCUAGUCGCUGGGAAUAGACCCGAAACCGGGCGAUCUAUCCAUGGGCAGGUUGAAGGUUGGGUAACACUAACUGGAGGACCGAACCGACUACCGUUGAAAAGUUAGCGGAUGACCUGUGGAUCGGAGUGAAAGGCUAAUCAAGCUCGGAGAUAGCUGGUUCUCCUCGAAAGCUAUUUAGGUAGCGCCUCAUGUAUCACUGUAGGGGGUAGAGCACUGUUUCGGCUAGGGGGUCAUCCCGACUUACCAAACCGAUGCAAACUCCGAAUACCUACAAGUGCCGAGCAUGGGAGACACACGGCGGGUGCUAACGUCCGUCGUGAAAAGGGAAACAACCCAGACCGUCAGCUAAGGUCCCAAAGUCAUGGUUAAGUGGGAAACGAUGUGGGAAGGCUUAGACAGCUAGGAGGUUGGCUUAGAAGCAGCCACCCUUUAAAGAAAGCGUAAUAGCUCACUAGUCGAGUCGGCCUGCGCGGAAGAUGUAACGGGGCUCAAACCAUGCACCGAAGCUACGGGUAUCAUUUUAGGAUGAUGCGGUAGAGGAGCGUUCUGUAAGCCUGUGAAGGUGAGUUGAGAAGCUUGCUGGAGGUAUCAGAAGUGCGAAUGCUGACAUGAGUAACGACAAUGGGUGUGAAAAACACCCACGCCGAAAGACCAAGGUUUCCUGCGCAACGUUAAUCGACGCAGGGUUAGUCGGUCCCUAAGGCGAGGCUGAAAAGCGUAGUCGAUGGAAAACAGGUUAAUAUUCCUGUACUUCUGGUUAUUGCGAUGGAGGGACGGAGAAGGCUAGGCCAGCCUGGCGUUGGUAGUCCAGGUUUAAGGUGGUAGGCUGAGAUCUUAGGUAAAUCCGGGAUCUUAAGGCCGAGAGCUGAUGACGAGUGUUCUUUUAGAACAUGAAGUGGUUGAUGCCAUGCUUCCAAGAAAAGCUUCUAAGCUUCAGGUAACCAGGAACCGUACCCCAAACCGACACAGGUGGUUGGGUAGAGAAUACCAAGGCGCUUGAGAGAACUCGGGUGAAGGAACUAGGCAAAAUGGCACCGUAACUUCGGGAGAAGGUGCGCCGGUGGAGGUGAAGCAUUUACUGCGUAAGCCCCUGCCGGUCGAAGAUACCAGGCCGCUGCGACUGUUUAUUAAAAACACAGCACUCUGCAAACACGAAAGUGGACGUAUAGGGUGUGACGCCUGCCCGGUGCCGGAAGGUUAAUUGAUGGGGUUAGCGCAAGCGAAGCUCUUGAUCGAAGCCCCGGUAAACGGCGGCCGUAACUAUAACGGUCCUAAGGUAGCGAAAUUCCUUGUCGGGUAAGUUCCGACCUGCACGAAUGGCGUAACGAUGGCGGCGCUGUCUCCACCCGAGACUCAGUGAAAUUGAAAUCGCUGUGAAGAUGCAGUGUAUCCGCGGCUAGACGGAAAGACCCCGUGAACCUUUACUAUAGCUUUGCACUGGACUUUGAAUUUGCUUGUGUAGGAUAGGUGGGAGGCUUUGAAGCGUGGACGCCAGUCUGCGUGGAGCCAACCUUGAAAUACCACCCUGGCAACUUUGAGGUUCUAACUCAGGUCCGUUAUCCGGAUCGAGGACAGUGUAUGGUGGGUAGUUUGACUGGGGCGGUCUCCUCCUAAAGAGUAACGGAGGAGUACGAAGGUGCGCUCAGACCGGUCGGAAAUCGGUCGUAGAGUAUAAAGGCAAAAGCGCGCUUGACUGCGAGACAGACACGUCGAGCAGGUACGAAAGUAGGUCUUAGUGAUCCGGUGGUUCUGUAUGGAAGGGCCAUCGCUCAACGGAUAAAAGGUACUCCGGGGAUAACAGGCUGAUACCGCCCAAGAGUUCAUAUCGACGGCGGUGUUUGGCACCUCGAUGUCGGCUCAUCACAUCCUGGGGCUGAAGCCGGUCCCAAGGGUAUGGCUGUUCGCCAUUUAAAGUGGUACGCGAGCUGGGUUUAGAACGUCGUGAGACAGUUCGGUCCCUAUCUGCCGUGGACGUUUGAGAUUUGAGAGGGGCUGCUCCUAGUACGAGAGGACCGGAGUGGACGAACCUCUGGUGUUCCGGUUGUCACGCCAGUGGCAUUGCCGGGUAGCUAUGUUCGGAAAAGAUAACCGCUGAAAGCAUCUAAGCGGGAAACUUGCCUCAAGAUGAGAUCUCACUGGAACCUUGAGUUCCCUAAAGGGCCGUCGAAGACUACGACGUUGAUAGGUUGGGUGUGUAAGCGCUGUGAGGCGUUGAGCUAACCAAUACUAAUUGCCCGUGAGGCUUGACCAUAUAACACCCAAGCAAUU
RNAcentral lists this ribosomal RNA (2918 nucleotides) under Pseudomonas syringae pv. atrofaciens. RNAcentral describes it as "bacterial LSU rRNA". It matches the Rfam family "Bacterial large subunit ribosomal RNA". Lineage: Bacteria; Pseudomonadati; Pseudomonadota; Gammaproteobacteria; Pseudomonadales; Pseudomonadaceae. The record is from RNAcentral.